CAAGACACUGUCUACCUAGAUCCUUAGGAUCUAGGCUGCUGUAUGCCUCCAGGGACUGCUGUAGCAGCAAUACACAGUCAAACCUGUUAUGUAGGAAACAGCUUAAGGACUGCACAGUAAAGCUACGGAGAACACAGAAUACUCUAUUUUUGUAUUCUUUACUUAUUAAUGAGUAAAUACCUACUCAAUGCCUGCUGAACUGAACUGGCUAUGCAAUUCUCACACACACACACACACACACACACACACACACACACACCCAUACCCUAAACUUGCAUUGUGUUUUAUUAAAAAAAAUUCCAAUUGUGGUUACAAAGAAAAGUAUCUCCAGUAAUGCAGUCUUCUAUAAUACAGAAGUAAUCAAGUCUUCUCUAGUAAUAAAUGACAGGAAACAAGAAAAAGGCAUCAAGACAAAAGUCUUUUAUUUAUCUGAAGAUGACAGCUAUGUAAGAUGACGGAAAAGAUACAAGACUGAGGUGAUUCCAGGAUGUUAAGUUUUAUAGCAUGAAGAUCCACAGAUUGCAGGAAACUUGUUCUUUUAUUUUCUACCAUGUGUGAAUGACUACUUUCACAGCUUAAAUUACUUCUUAAAACAAUUCUUUCUUUGGAUUUAAUUCCCCACGCUGGAAUAGACGGCUGAAAGGGUGAAUGUUUUUGAUGAUGAUGAUGAUGACAAC
Canis lupus familiaris (dog) is the source of this 677-nucleotide long non-coding RNA. RefSeq lists it as uncharacterized. NCBI's taxonomy places the organism in Eukaryota, Metazoa, Chordata, Mammalia, Carnivora, Canidae. The transcript is spliced from 3 exons. The record is from RefSeq and is a predicted model, not a curated record.